This 253-nucleotide ribosomal RNA is filed under the name uncultured bacterium. RNAcentral's name for it is "partial 16S ribosomal RNA". It matches the Rfam family "Bacterial small subunit ribosomal RNA", at positions 524 to 776 of the family's 1533-position model. The record is from RNAcentral.
GACGAACCGUGCGAACGUUGUUCGGAAUCACUGGGCUUAAAGGGCGCGUAGGCGGGCGGUCAAGUCAGAGGUGAAAUCCCACGGCUCAACCGUGGAAGUGCCCCUGAUACUGACUGUCUCGAGGGAGGUAGGGGCGUGCGGAACUUCCGGUGGAGCGGUGAAAUGCGUAGAUAUCAUCUGGAACGCCAAUGGUGAAAACAGCUCGCUGGGGGUUUGCAGACGCUGAGACACGAAAGCCAGGGGAGCGAACGGG